GCUUGCUGGGCGGAUUAGUGGCGAACGGGUGAGUAAUACGUGAGUAACCUGCCCUUGACUCUGGGAUAAGCCUGGGAAACUGGGUCUAAUACUGGAUACUACCUCUUACCGCAUGGUGGGUGGUGGAAAGGGUUUUACUGGUUUUGGAUGGGCUCACGGCCUAUCAGCUUGUUGGUGGGGUAAUGGCUCACCAAGGCGACGACGGGUAGCCGGCCUGAGAGGGUGACCGGCCACACUGGGACUGAGACACGGCCCAGACUCCUACGGGAGGCAGCAGUGGGGAAUAUUGCACAAUGGGCGGAAGCCUGAUGCAGCGACGCCGCGUGAGGGAUGACGGCCUUCGGGUUGUAAACCUCUUUCAGUAGGGAAGAAGCGAGAGUGACGGUACCUGCAGAAGAAGCGCCGGCUAACUACGUGCCAGCAGCCGCGGUAAUACGUAGGGCGCAAGCGUUGUCCGGAAUUAUUGGGCGUAAAGAGCUCGUAGGCGGUUUGUCGCGUCUGCUGUGAAAGCCCGGGGCUCAACCCCCGGGUCUGCAGUGGGUACGGGCAGACUAGAGUGCAGUAGGGGAGACUGGAAUUCCUGGUGUAGCGGUGAAAUGCGCAGAUAUCAGGAGGAACACCGAUGGCGAAGGCAGGUCUCUGGGCUGUUACUGACGCUGAGGAGCGAAAGCAUGGGGAGCGAACAGGAUUAGAUACCCUGGUAGUCCAUGCCGUAAACGUUGGGCACUAGGUGUGGGGGACAUUCCACGUUUUCCGCGCCGUAGCUAACGCAUUAAGUGCCCCGCCUGGGGAGUACGGCCGCAAGGCUAAAACUCAAAGGAAUUGACGGGGGCCCGCACAAGCGGCGGAGCAUGCGGAUUAAUUCGAUGCAACGCGAAGAACCUUACCAAGGCUUGACAUUCACCGGACCGCCCCAGAGAUGGGGUUUCCCUUCGGGGCUGGUGGACAGGUGGUGCAUGGUUGUCGUCAGCUCGUGUCGUGAGAUGUUGGGUUAAGUCCCGCAACGAGCGCAACCCUCGUUCUAUGUUGCCAGCACGUGAUGGUGGGGACUCAUAGGAGACUGCCGGGGUCAACUCGGAGGAAGGUGGGGAUGACGUCAAAUCAUCAUGCCCCUUAUGUCUUGGGCUUCACGCAUGCUACAAUGGCCGGUACAAAGGGUUGCGAUACUGUGAGGUGGAGCUAAUCCCAAAAAGCCGGUCUCAGUUCGGAUUGAGGUCUGCAACUCGACCUCAUGAAGUCGGAGUCGCUAGUAAUCGCAGAUCAGCAACGCUGCGGUGAAUACGUUCCCGGGCCUUGUACACACCGCCCGUCAAGUCACGAAAGUUGGUAACACCCGAAGCCGGUGGCCUAACCCCUUGUGGGAGGGAGCCGUCGAAG
This 1377-nucleotide ribosomal RNA is filed under the name Kocuria rosea. Its description in RNAcentral is "16S ribosomal RNA". It matches the Rfam family "Bacterial small subunit ribosomal RNA". Lineage: Bacteria; Bacillati; Actinomycetota; Actinomycetes; Micrococcales; Micrococcaceae. The record is from RNAcentral.